CGAGUGUCGUUACAGGCGCAGUGCGGCUGUGGGAUGUAAGGCGCAAUGGCGACGGUCGAGACGUUUUGGAGGCCAAAAUAAAGCCAACCAGCGGACGGAAGGUAUCUGCACCUGAACAGAACCGCCACCGCAGAAUGGUGAAGCUGCAACGUCAAAAUGGAUCCUGAAGUGACAGUGUCUUCACCCUCGAGUGUUGUGUCCUAUUCCGGGCCUCAGAACAGAAUGAGCAAUCUUGCUGCCAAACAGAGGGACGGCAGGAGGUCCUCGUCCACCACGCCGCCCUUUCUGUCGAACCUGGGGAGAGCCACACUCCGGGGCAUUCGCAAGUGUCCUCAGUGUGGCGUCUACAAUGGCACGCGGGGGCUCAGCUGUAAGAACAAGGCUUGUGGGAUCUCCCUGAGGACUGCCUCCGAGGGCGGCCGGAGCAGGAAGGCUGGCGCGGUGGAGGUGGUGAAAGUCAUCACCGACAGCAUAGAGAGAGAUGGGAAAGAGGCUGACGGAGAGGUCCGGAGCGUUCAGGUCUUCUCGGUGUGUCACAGGGAACGAGGAGUGUCACAGUUGGGCUUUGUCCAGCUGGUGCCCACUGACACCGCCAUUGCCACCGGCGAUGGAGCAACACUUCUCACCCUCAUCAAUCUGGGCCGCUGCUUGUUGCCCACGUGCAAGAGGGCUCAGAGGUCCAGUCAGCCAGAGUCUGCGGCGGCCAACUCCAAACAGUCGGCCAACAGCAUCUGCAUUCACAUCAAAAAAGCCAUCGAGUGCCGCGCCAACGCCACCCCGCUGACUCUAAAGAGUUCUGUCCUGGAGGGUCUGCAUGUCUCGUUCGAGGACAAGGAGCUCCUUUGGAGGCUGGCCACAGAGUCUCCGGGGCCUCUGGUGCAGCGGGUGUCUAAGGACACCCUGGUAGUGAAGUGUCAGACGGACUCCCAGCAUCCUCUCGGUCUCCUGCACCUCACCGUGGGUGCGAGCGGCCUGCCGGAGGCGGGGAAGAGCAGAGAGGUUCGGCACCAGCAGGAGGUCUUCAAGUGUAGCUGCCAGGCAACAGCGGGAAGUCCUGCUGAUGCUGCUGACGCCCUGCGGGUCAACGGUGCCACGCUGCCCCUCUGCCUUCACUUCUACGCCUGCGUAUGCGCUUUGAAGAGUGACGACACACUGGCCAAAGAGUUUGCAGCCUUCAUCAACUACUCACCUGCUGGGGUGCAGCAGAACUUGGUCUGCUCUGCUUCUGGUGAAAAGCCUUUACAGCGGCCUCAUCAAAAGUUGAAGAGAUCACGCCUGGAGGAUGGCCUCGCAGGGUCCCCCCCACAGGAGGGAGCGUCUGCCUCUGGUGUGAGGAAGGCUGGUCAGAGAAGAGCAGCUCCAGAGCUGAAGGCAGCAGAUGGUUCUCAUGUCGUGGAUGAGCAUGCGCUGACGAUGAGCUUCCAUCAGUGGCUGGCCUGCGUCACGGAGAGGAUCCACCACACCAUGCACUACCAGUCGGACGGGAAGCCGGAUCCAUUGGUCUUCUUCAUCCCUCAAGAGUUCUUCAGCGCGCUGCAGCAUCGCUUGUCGCUCGGCUCCAAGAAGAGGAGGCUUCCAAACUCAACCACAGCUCUGGUCGGGGCCGACGGACUUCCAGGUUCCUCCAGGUACACGUGGCACAUCUCCAGUCUGAAGCAGGUCAAGCAGAUCUUCGACACCCCUGAGCUCCCUCUAGAGUUCAUCCAGAGUUUUGUACGAAACGCAGACGGCUCCUUCUCGCGCUUCAGGUGUCCGGAUGCUCCAGCGGAGCCGCCGUCAGAGCAACACCGUCCUGAUCGACCGCACACCAUCAGGCCGAUGGAGCUGCGCACUCUUCUCAAAGUUGGUCCGAGCGCCGAUAAUUCGAGCGAGAACACUCCGUUUGUGAUCGAGUGGAUCCCCGACGUCCUCCCGCGCUGCCACAUGGGGGAGCUGCGGCUCAGCUUCGAGUUCCAGCACCUGCAGAGCGGUCCGUCGGACCCAGACAGGCCGAGCUCAGGUGUCAAGUCCGAGUCUAAAUGAAGCCCUUCACGCACCACAUUCAUCACUGCUCUCCACGGUCGGAGGAAGAUUGUGCCUGCAGCAUCUCAAGUCGCCAUCUGGCCGGGCUGCAGUACUCAAAGGGCCACAGGUGGCCCUCACUUUGCUGUGGUCAGAGAUCAGUAGUUGAGUUCAGGAGACGUGAGGUGGCUCCAAGUCUCGACUGGUGUGCCGACGCUGCCGUCAGUCAACAUCGGUGGAAGCAGAACUGGGUCUGGGAUCUGUCUGCGCAGAGACGUGGAGCUGACACCUCCUCUCAGCGCCGUCGAUCCACAUCAGCUACUUUCCUGACCAGAAAACCUCACCGCAGUCAGUGAUCCUGGAGAGGAGCGAGAGGAGCUGACCUCAUUCUGGAAGAGAAGCUUUCCAAACAGAUAUCUCGUGACUCAGCCCUGCCGAGAGGUCAAUCCUGGCCUCUCAGAUCCGAUCUCAGAAACUUCCUCUGCUGCUGCAGUCACAAAGACACAUGGAUGUGGGCGAGUUAGCUUCCACUCCUCUGUCCAGAAAGCUUUGCUGCUCUUCGACCUUGAAAAGGAACAGCCAACACGUUGGUGAUCCAGGCGGAGCGGACUUGUCAGCGCCUCUGUGACCAGUGGAAAGCGACACCUUCCACCGUCAGAUUCUCCUCAGCCUUGGCUUGAGUGGAAGUCCAGAUCGGCACUUAACCUUUGACCUCUGAGCUCUGUCAACCCAGGAGGAAAACAACCUACUCAAGUGGCUCUUUGAUGCGGUCAGGAGUUCCACCUUUAAAUCUUUCAACACUUUCUGACCUCACAAGUGGCCUGAUUUCAGGAAGCGUGUCCCACCUCUGGGGAACAAGCACUGUCAUGACCUGCUGUUUGGAGUAUGUACCAUUGGUAGCAUAAACCUUCCUUACCGAGGCCUUCAACCGCCUUAAGUUGUUAGUGGCCUGCACACAUCCAUCUUGGUAUCCCUCCUGUACCAACACCCAAGGUUCUUCCCGCACGUCAUGAGCUCUCUGAGAAACCCACACUGCACCUGGGACAAGCGCAUGCUCUUCUCAUUUCCUUGUGACGGGAACCAGUGAAUCCAGAACACCUCAGAGAACAAUGACCAUCCCAUUCCUGGGGCUUGACUCUGUGUGGGCUACAAGGUUGGGCUGUAACUCCAGAUCCAGAGUUCAGCUCAUCAUUUGGUUCAUGGAAGCAGCUUCUUCGACUCAAACUAGAAAGAGUCUUUGGGAACCAGUUAAGUGACGGUCUCACGACGGAGACAGACGUGGCUCGAUGCGUUUGGAAGUGCGGCUCCGCUCCACGAUACCUGGCUCUGUUGCUCCUCUGAGCGAAUCGCAUCACUAUUUUUCACUCCGCUGAAUACAAGCUUGCCGCGUGGUGAGCGGAUCUGUCACUGCGGCAUCAUGACCGGAGGAAACGCCGGCCAAUUAUGAGCGUGUAAAAUAGCGAGGGAAAGUUCCCGCUGUGUUGAGUGACGGAGCUUUCUGUCCGAUGGUUUACACGAGUGCCUGUGUGGCCCUCAGCUGCUUCUCUGCCGCGUGAUGAUCCACAAAUGAGUCUCGAAGAUGGAGAUGGCGUGACUCAGUGCUACCAGGGCGGAACUCCGGUUUACUGGCGAGGUGAUGACUGUCUGAGGAAUUGUUUGAUUCCGACAGAGUCAGAUGGUUUAAUCGGAGACUCGGGAGCCAGUUUUGGAAUCUAAAAACUUUGGGAUCCUUUCCACAUCGCAGUAGUCCGAUAUAUAGGUAACCGAAUCCUUACUACCUCACCAGAACCUUGUUGUGUUGAGGUCCAUAAAGACUGGUUCAGGAAUGGUGAGGGGAUCAGGCUGAAUUUUGAUACCUGGGCUGCAUCACUUGCCCUUCAAAUGUCCUUCCACUGUGAUAAACCUCGGUAAGGGUUCUGGACCUCCAGCCCUCACAGAUACAGCAGGGCAUUGUCCACCGUGCCCAACAAUCGUGACCCAUUCUUGCACCAAACCCUGGUGCUCAGAUGUUGGUUGAGCGACAUGCCACCUGCCUCUGUGGAUGUUCCAACCAUCCAUGUUCCACCCAUUUACGUUGAACUGUUCCCGGAGCAUCUAAACACCUCGGUAUUGGGUUUCGCUCGGUGUCCAUCAGUGUAAAGACCUUGUUGGUAUUCAGCCCACGUCUGUCCAUCAGCAUCAGUUACCGAACAAGACGGGAGGUUGACUGCCAUCAGAACACGAAGCCUCUGUUGUGUAAACCUAUAAGCAGCUAUCAGCAGCGCGAUCUGCGCUUUAUCGACGGGCAGUUUUUCAUUUCUCCAGACAGGUGUCUCCAGUGGCGUCGCUGGCACGCCAACAAAAGGCGAGGACGUGCUGACGUGUGUCUCGGCAGCUGAUAAGCUGGGUUUGUUCAUGGCGUCGGGGUAGAUUUCAUUCCACUCCAGACUCCACUCAUUAAUUAAACAUGGCGCUGUCACAUCCCUCACUCAGCGUGAAGAACGAGGGAGGACGACGGAGGGAGAGAGAGUCGCCCACUGUGAAGGAAGAACUGGCACCAGAUUCAACCCUCUCUGAAUGUUCUAAAAAAGUCCUGAUCUACCUGGUGACUGUGGUCUGAAGCCAGCAGGACACCAGGACCGCCAGCGUGCUGACACUUGUGGAGGGAACUCAAGGCAGAAGCUCGGCUCCACUGAGUCACGACAGUUGUCACGGUGUCUCCUGGGAUAGGGAAGAGCUCAAAUGGGAGGAGGACCCGGGGCAUACCCAGGACUCCUUGGGGUGAUGUGACCUCAUGGAUGCAGACCUGUAAACCUCUGCCAAUAAGGAGAGCAGAAUCACAGUCCGCAAGACGUCUGUAUAAUAAACUCUUUUCCAGCUAUUAAAGUUGGCUGAUGACAACAAUAUCAUAAACUUAAUAGAAAAAAACAAAAGGUUCCAUCUGCGUCCAGUUGUUUUCACUGGUGCUGUCACACUGUAAACAAGGCCUUGGAGAUGAGUUAUAGUCCACUGCGACUGCAAAAUUGACUGCAACAGAAGCACUGACAAAAUGAUGACUUGAAUACGUCGAGGAGCAUCUGCCUAAAUUCUCACCAAAAAUGUAGCGUGGAGAAAAGAGAACAAGAGAAGCUAGCAGUCCGUAUCGCUAACAUCCUGGUCCAUGGCAUCGUGACCUGAAGCGCCGCGGCCCUCUCACCUUCGCCGCUUCUCCCCUCCACCCUCCAUCCAUCAGGCUGCUCUCAUUGUUUUGACACGGAGUUCAUUCUCAGCUGGUGAUUUAUCAAAUUCUUAUUAGCGCCCGCUGAAAGCCUCAUUCGUUGUCUUGAUCUGCGCUAACGAUGCCACUAAUGACUCCUCCUGGCCUCCUCUCUCCGCUGCCUUCCACCGUAUGUCUCCGUCAUCUGACCUGUCCAACAUUACGACCACCUGCUGGUCCUGUAUCUGGAUCUAAGUGGUUGUUGCAAGUCUGCAGUGGCAAGUACCUGCGAAAGGAAGGAAACGCGUUGAUACUCAACUGUUGAGUUGCUGCAUUUAUAGUGAGUUCAAAGCGCCCUCUACAGGUCGGCAGUAAUAUUUACUAAGGAUAAAAUUCCCUCUAAACAUCGAGAGGCUAACAGUCAGCACCUGCAGCUACUUCAGGCCAACCAACAUAAAAACCAAAUGUCAGAAAAAAGUUUCUUUGAACUUAAAAAUGGAACAACCGAUCCUCAACAAUUCUAUCUUUGUGAUCUUCACGAUGUUGGUCAGCAUUCGUUGUCUUGUUUUUUAAGUCUGAGUUUGGCUUCACCAUGUUAGUGAAGGUUUUUAUGAUUUGUUUGUCAUGCUCUUGUUUUGUUGCUAGUCGUCGUUUUUCUGGUGCUGAAAUUGUUUCCAUGCCGAUCAUUUGUGAGCUUCUGUUUUUGGAUCCAUCUUUUUGGAACGUCCACUGUUAGCAUCAGCAUGUGCUGCAUGUGAUCCCAAAAACCCAUUUUCUGUUCAAGCCUUUAUUUCGGACCGUCAAGAUAGACUGAAGCCAGGCUACGCUAACAGCGUAAAUGCCAUAAGCUAGUAAUGCUAACCAUUAGCUCUUAGCAUCCUUGUAGCUGGAACCAUAUAGAUUUUUUUAUGUUUUCAGUCACAACUGUUGAAUGAAAAUAAACAUUACUAAAAACUGUGCAGUGUUAGCAGUUAGCGUCACUGGUGCUAAUACCCCAGGUAAUGCUGAGCUUGUACUCUGACCUGAGAGACUAAGUCAGGAGUCAGCCUCGCACACACCCCUCCCCCCUACACUCGCUCCUUCAUUCAUUCUGGCACCUCAUCCUCACUGAGUGACUCUCUGCCUCCCCCCAUCUUUGUCCCAUUUCCCAACAAGCCCUUGAUCAUUCUCACUGGUCCUGCACCCUCCUCUUCGCCCCCUCCCUACUACUCCUGAGUCCAUCAUGUCCAGUUCUGGACUGGGGCCGUCUUCUGACGCCGCAUUCAUCAGUGCUGAGAAACAGAAAUCACUCUCCACUGGCCGCCGGCACUUAUUGCUCCAUCCAUCACACCUGGCAGGUGAUCGAUUCCUCCCCCCUCCUCCACUCCCCUCCCCUUCCUGCCCGCUCCUCCUCUUGCUUGCAUAUUUCAGAGCUCAGUCCUGUCGCGGGAGCUGAGUCGCUGUGUUAUCCUGGUGAUGUCAUGAUGAUGUCAUCACUGAGCUAAAGUCACUGUUUCAGCAUGUAGCUGUAGCGUGUUGAAAUGCUAACAUAGCCACAGUGCUCCUGUAAAAAUAAUAAUAAUAGCAUGGUAAUAACAGAUGCUCCUGAGCUCACUUCCUCGCCCCCCUCCAUCACUGUCUGGUUGUCAGCUGCAGUUGCUUUGAUGUUUCGAGACAGUAGCGGUCAUAAGCAGCCACAUGGGGCCGUGCGGGCGCUCAGUCUGGAGGUCACGCUGACAGCACCAGUCUUUCUCCGGUGGGAAGAAGGUUUCCCCAGCCUCCCUCUCUCUGAGCACAUGUGGCAUCCAUCUCCUUCCUUGGCCCCGUUCUUGCUCCCAUCCGUCUCCUCGUGAGAGAUGGAUCGCAGAGCUCUGAGCAAGAAGGAUGGGAACUGUCGGUGAGGAAGCUCCCGGCAGCUGAGGCUCAUUCAUCUCCGCGCCGGCGAGAGAUGAAAGACGUGAGGGGAUCUGGAUCGAUGCGUGUUGAUGCUGAUGCAGCUAUGACAUCAGCGCAGUCGCGAGUCAGCAAAGUUUGACAACUUCACACACGUCAGUCAAGGACUCCGGAGGUCAGAGAUGCUUCGGGUUAGUUGCUCUGUGAAAGUGUUGUUUGAAUGCUUCAGUCAACCACGUUGUGUGUCAGGCUUGUCGUGGAGAGACAGUUGGCUUGUGUGUUGCUUUGCAUUUAUUGACUUCAAGGAUUGUGAUUUGUGGUUGUGCAGGGUUUUUUUUUUGUGUUUCUUAGCUUGUGUUUGUGUCCAGUGAUUUGUUAUAUUCUCUGAGGUUCGGCAAAUUGUGUUGCAUCACUCGCUCCUGUGUUACAGCUUUGGUGUUGUGCUGUGUGACGUGUCGGCUUUUGAGUCUCUGAUGUGCAGCUGUGAAUUUGUUUGUGUCUUCCCGCUGUCUCGCUGCAGCAAGUCGCUCCUGACUUGACUGAAGACGUCCAAGUGCAGCGGGUGCAAGGGAGGCCCGCGGAGGGUGGGUGGUCCUCGUCUGUCGUCGCGGCGAUUACAGCCGACAGCUCAGUCACAGGCCAAUAAUCUUCACCAUCAUCGCCCUCAUCAGCGGCUCAGAUCUUCUUACAGCAGAUGUCGCUCACUGAGCUCCCGUCCUGUCUGGUCGGGCCGCUCUCUUCAGCUUUGUAUCGUCCACAUUUUGCUGGUUCAUUGCCGUUUGUCUCUUCAAAAUAAACAUUUUCUCCCCUAAAAAUGAUAUAACAAAACAAAAUCAUCAAUGGAUCUAAUGUGGUUUUGUGUUCGUUCAUAAAAAUGGCUUGGAUGCUGUCAUCAGAACAGAAUGUCAAAGUCUCCAGUUCAUCUGCGCUGCCUUGCUCCAGGACACAUGGGCUCCGGUCCUUGCUGUGGACGGCUCACCGCAGUGUGACGGCGCUGCUCCUCACUCCUCUGACAACUCUGAUUUAUGACUCCAGCAAACAGAUGCGGCCGGCAGACACCCGGAGCGGACAGGAGGAGUUUAACCUGAUGGAUUAUGCUGUCGGUCUGGUCCGUGGACUUCUGAAACAUAAUCUGUCUGAGCAGCACGAGGAGCGCAGGACUCCCGAGGAACCCGCUCCCCUCUUUGCUGGUGUUGUAUUAGCAUACCUUUGCUGGAGCGCUGGUGGAAAUUGAAUUUCCUGGCUUCCUGUAAACAUCUCCGCUGGAUUAAAGUGUCAGCGAGUGAUCUACUGUGACCCCGCUGUCGCCGUGUCAUCUUUCCUCGCCCUGCUGAUGGAUGAUCUGGCCACUCUGGAGGCUAGGAAGGCUUUCAGCUGCCCACCUUUUUGAGCAACGUAAACAGACUGUUGUCAGGGUGUUAAACCUGGUCGACAACAAGAGCGACUCAGAAUCAGAAGCAGAUUUAUUGCCAUGGUCAGUGGGGAGCCCACCAACCAGGAAAGUGCUUUGAAAUAAAGUGCUGACAAAAAAUAAAUAAUAAAAUAAAAUAAAGGCUGAUCACAAAUUCAACAGUCUGACGGCCGAGGGGAAGAAGCUGUUCCUGUGACGGGAGGUUCUGGUCUGGAUGGACCGUAGCCUCCUGCCAGAGGGAAGAGGAACAAACAGUCCAUGUCCAGGGUGAGAAGGGUCGAAGGCUCUGAUCCCACCUGCACGUCUCUGGGUCCUGGAGACAUACAGGUCCUGAAGAGGUGGCAGGCUGCAACCCAUCACCUUCUCAGCAGAACGUACGAUGCACUGCAGUCUGCUCUUGUCCCUGGAGGUGGCGCUGUUGUAGCAGACGGUGAUAGAAGAGGUGAGGAUGGACUGGAUGAUGGCUGUGUAGAACUCCACCAGCAACUUCAUCGGCAGUCGUAGUUUUCGUAGCUGCCUCAAGAAGAACAUUCUCUGCUGGGCCUUCCUGAUGAGGGACCUGAUGGUUGGCUCCCAUUUGAGGUCCUCAGUGACGGUGGUUCCUAGGAAGCAGAAGGAGUCCACGUGCCUCAUGCCUCUCUCUGAGUGAGGCAAGGAUGGAGAAAGAGCUGAGCCAGAAGACAAUGCUGGCUUUCUCCUCUCACCUGUGGUUACCUGUAGUGACCAUAGAAAAAGAGUUUCUCUGUCUGUCUCAGUCAGCCAGGAGAGAAUCACAGGAGGCUCUGUCAGUCCUGGAAUAGUGAGGUGCUCACCUGGGAGGAGGCCCAGGACACGCCGCAGAGAUGAUGUUACCGCUGCCCCCAUGAUCUCAGAUAACAAGUUGAUGAUGAUGGAUGGACGUACAGUGAAAACCAUUUCACUCACACCAGAUCGUCUCCACUGAGGUCUUCUUCUGAGCUCCUCACAGCUCAUUCCUCAGCUGCGUUCAUGUGUCUGGUGAUAAAUGAGUCGUGCACAUCCUGAGAGCUCACAGAGGAAAGAAUAAUGGCCGUUUAAGCACUCUUGUAAAUGACCAACACAUUUGUCUUGGCCCGUCCCUGCAGGCGGCUGGGAGAGUACAUCUGUUCCACAUGGCCCCGUCGGACCUGCUGACACCACUUCAACACAAACUGUCACGCCACGCAGCAUAAUUCAUACAUGGAGCGGUUGUCUCUGCACCUGCGUGUGUGUGUGUGAGGCUCAGCAGGUGUGUGUCGGGUCACACGGAGUUCAUCUCCAAGUGCUGCCGAAAGGCGUGCUGGACCUCCUGCAGUGGAGCCGGAUUAUCUGCUCCCCCGCGGACUGCUGCCUGUUCAAACGCUUGUUCCACCUAGCGGUGACCAACGUCACGCACUUAGUUUUGGAGGCAGAAAUUCUUCUCAGUGGAAACACGUCACCAGCUAUCAGAAGGUUCCAGUGGUCUUUUCCUGUCUUAUCUUGUUCCCCCGAUGAAGCCAGUGAAAACCGACCUGUGAUGAAGAAGAAGAUGAAGAAGACGGGCCAAGAAAUGGCCCAGAAAGGUCUGGAUGGAAUUUGGUUCAAGUCAGAGCCAGACCUCAUGAGGUGAAGCGUGAAGGUGGAGGACCUGCCACGGUGACCUCUGGAGAAGAGGAAGUUCAGGAGACAGCAGAAUUUGUCGUUGACUCUUCCUCGGCUCUCGCUUUCCAGGCCUCUCACCAGCCGGUGUUUGUCCAACACGCUGAGCGGUUUCCAGCUCCGACUCCUCCCCUCCCUCCAUAAACAGUCAUUAACGUUUAUGACAGGUGUCGUGACAUGUUUACGACUGCAUUAUGUCUGCUUUACGAGUCGCUGUGAAGUCGGCCUUUUACUAGCCGGCCUCCCGGAGGCAGCUCGCUGGCGGCACAUCCGAGAGACGGUUAAUCACUUUCUUCAACGCACUGGCAAAUAAAAAGGGCUCUGCGUUUGGCAGGAAAGUCACUGCGUCUGACGGCGAGAGCAUCAAACGUCCUCGUGAAUCUCCACCGUCAGACUUUUAUUGGAGGAUCUCUCGCCGCCGUCGCGUUCCAGGUGGUUCUGUCAGAGGCUAGCAACAGCUCCGCGUGUCACCUUGCGGCGUUACGAGCUGUCGUAAAGAUGGGACUGGAUGGGAAGACCAUGAUUCCUCUCGCAGCGUCACGAUCAGUACUGCCAAACAACCGUAGUAGCUUUGGUCCAGGGGAGUGAACAACAGUUCAGUGUUCCAUCAGAAGCAGACUCUGGGAGGGAGGUGCACUUGUGUAGUGAAGUGACACAACAUGAACCUGGUUUACUUUUUUGCUCAUGUACUGGACAAAGUUAGUGUGACUCAUUCACAGUGAUGGUACGGUCAGGUCGCGGGGGCAGCACUGCAGAGAAGAGAUCCAGACUUUCCUCUCUCCAGAUCUGAGUGACUUCAUGAGUCUGCUCUUGAAGAGGACAGGUUCUCCUCUGACUCUCUCCUGUGUGACUGAGCUCUCACCCUCUAAGACAGGGCCCAGAUAACUCCAAAGAAACCCACUCAGUCAGUGCAGAGCUUUGCCUUCUGGCUCAGCUCAACUGUCCAUCUACAUCCUUCCCUCACUCUGGAACAAGACCCUGGGUUAUUUGGUCUUUUCCACCAUCUGGACAUCUCAUCUCCAUCCUGGAGAGAACAUUACUCCCUGACUGAGAAGCACGAUCUCACCGAGAGAAGCUGACCUUUCAACCCGCUGUCUCUCCUCCUCUCACCUGUAUUGAUGCUGUAAUCCCAGACUGAUUCAUGAGCCAAUGAUCCGCACUAACCAGCACUGAAUCAGUUCGGAUCAAUCCUGCCUGCGCCGCGCUGCCCGAUCGUUGCUGCAUCACUGUAUACAUCAGGGGCGGGGAGGAGGGUUGAUCCAGAGGUCGAGUCUCAUUCCAUCUGUCAGCCGAUCGGAUAAAUGGCUCGACACGGUGUGGGAUGCUGUU
Molecule: RNA transcript, 11423 nt
Organism: Synchiropus splendidus (mandarinfish)
Lineage: Eukaryota; Metazoa; Chordata; Actinopteri; Syngnathiformes; Callionymidae
Gene: c1h2orf42
Gene name: chromosome 1 C2orf42 homolog
Exons: 10
Source: RefSeq, a predicted model, not a curated record